This 524-nucleotide ribosomal RNA is filed under the name uncultured bacterium. Its description in RNAcentral is "bacterial SSU rRNA". It matches the Rfam family "Bacterial small subunit ribosomal RNA", at positions 369 to 886 of the family's 1533-position model. The record is from RNAcentral.
CAAUGGGGGAAACCCUGAUCCAGCGACGCCGCGUGUGUGAAGAAGGCCUGCGGGUUGUAAAGCACUUUUAGUGGGGAUGAAAAGCUCAGGGCUAAUACCUCUGGGUCUUGACCUAACCCAAAGAAAAAGCACCGGCUAACUCUGUGCCAGCAGCCGCGGUAAUACAGAGGGUGCGAGCGUUAAUCGGAAUUACUGGGCGUAAAGCGUGCGUAGACGGUUAUGUAAGUCGGGUGUGAAAGCCCCGGGCUCAACCUGGGAAUUGCAUUCGAGACUGGAUAGCUAGGGUGCGGAAGAGGGAAGCGGAAUUUCAGGUGUAGCGGUGAAAUGCGUAGAUAUCUGAAGGAACACCAGUGGCGAAAGCGGCUUCCUGGUCCAGCACCGACGUUCAGGCACGAAAGCGUGGGGAGCAAACAGGAUUAGAUACCCUGGUAGUCCACGCCAUAAACGAUGAGAACUAGACGUUGAGAGGGUAAGCCUCCCAGUGUCGUAGCUAACGCGCUAAGUUCUCCGCCUGGGAGUACGGC